UACGAGGGGUGCUAGCGUUGUUCGGAAUCACUGGGCGUAAAGCGUGCGUAGGCGGACUGAAAAGUCAGGGGUGAAAUCCCAGAGCUCAACUCUGGAACUGCCUUUGAAACUGCCAGUCUGGAGGCCGGGAGAGGAUAGUGGAAUUCCUAGUGUAGAGGUGAAAUUCGUAGAUAUUAGGAGGAACACCAGUGGCGAAGGCGACUGUCUGGACCGGUUCUGACGCUCAAGCACGAAAGCGUGGGGAGCAAAC
Molecule: ribosomal RNA, 250 nt
Filed under: uncultured bacterium
Lineage: Bacteria
Description: partial 16S ribosomal RNA
Rfam family: Bacterial small subunit ribosomal RNA
Source: RNAcentral